This 1006-nucleotide ribosomal RNA is filed under the name Triticum aestivum (bread wheat). RNAcentral describes it as "partial small subunit ribosomal RNA". Lineage: Eukaryota; Viridiplantae; Streptophyta; Magnoliopsida; Poales; Poaceae. The record is from RNAcentral.
CAGACACAUACGCCUCACACUCUCUAUCAGUCACGUCAGGCUCGGUGGAUCACGGUAGCACUAGCUUCAGCUAGCCAGCCUCUGCCACUCCGGGCAUUUUCUUGCAUCCACGACGGCAAUGGCCACCGCUGAUGUCCAGAACCCGACGGCCGCGCUGACGGAGGAGGCGCCCACGGUGGAGACGCCCGUCGCCGCCGAGGAGGUCGCGAAGACGGAGGAGGCCCCCGCGCCGGCCGAGGCCGAGGUCAAGGCGCCUGCUGCCCCCGUCGAGGUCGAGGAGACCAAGGAGGUGGCACCUGCCGCCGCUGAGACGGAGGAGGCCAAGGAGCCCGAGCCAGCAGCUGCGGCCGAGCCGGAGGCCGAGGCCCCCAAAGAGACAGAGGCGCCAGCCGUGGUCGAGACAGAGACCAAGGAGGCCGUGGCUGAGGCAGAGCCAGCGGCGCCCGAGGAGGUGAAGGAGGAGGCCGCGCCUCCUGCCGAGCCAGAAGCACCGGCCGUCGCCGAGGAGGCACCGGCUGCACCGGAGGAGGCGCCCGCGGCCGCGGCAGAGGAGCCGGCCGCCGCGGUGGCCAGCGUCAGCGUGUGAGGCGCCGGCGCGCGCGGAGGAGGAGCUGGCCGGGUCAGCUUCCACGGCGGCGGCCGUGUGCUCCUACGUGGCACGGCGUGAUGCUGAGUCAGCCAGUGGAGUGGAGUGGAAUGAUACUUUUUACUAGGUGUGGAGUGGGAGUGCUAUGCGCGGGGUCGCGUGACGUGGGCUAAAUAAAAGUGUUGUCGGGUCGGGUCGACGCCCAGUGUCGGUCAGCAGCGAGCGACGCAGUGCCACUCUCGCCGGCCUGCGUCUGCGUCUGCUUAGCUGGAGCCUUGUUACGGUGUGUGUCACAGUGUCAGUUCCACCUAUGAUCGAUCGGUAUCCUAACCGGUUUGCGUUAUCCCUGGCUCCUGCUUCAGUAUGUCUCUGGAUGAUCUCCAGCUAAUUUACCACUCUACCGAUGCAUCUAGACGAAUA